This 478-nucleotide ribosomal RNA is filed under the name uncultured Planctomycetales bacterium. Its description in RNAcentral is "bacterial SSU rRNA". It matches the Rfam family "Bacterial small subunit ribosomal RNA", at positions 364 to 832 of the family's 1533-position model. Lineage: Bacteria; Pseudomonadati; Planctomycetota; Planctomycetia; Planctomycetales. The record is from RNAcentral.
UUUCGCAAUGCCCGAAAGGGUGACGAAGCGACGCCGCGUGGGUGAGGAAGGCCUUCGGGUUGUAAAGCCCUGUCAGGAGUUAAGAAAUGUAGACUCGCUAAUAUCGGGUCUAUUUGACAAAGGCUCCAAAGGAAGCCACGGCUAACUCUGUGCCAGCAGCCGCGGUAAUACAGAGGUGGCAAGCGUUGUUCGGAAUUAUUGGGCGUAAAGAGCACGUAGGUGGAUUUGUAAGUCAGACGUGAAAGCCUUCUGUUCAACGGAAGAAUUGCAUCUGAAACUACAAACCUUGAGUGUAGGAGGGGAGAAUGGAACUUCUGGUGGAGCGGUGAAAUGCGUAGAUAUCAGAAGGAACGCCGGCGGCGAAAGCGAUUCUCUGGCCUAUUACUGACACUCAGUGUGCGAAAGCUAGGGGAGCAAACGGGAUUAGAUACCCCGGUAGUCCUAGCCGUAAACGAUGGGCACUAAGUAGAGGGGUUUU